RNAcentral lists this ribosomal RNA (253 nucleotides) under uncultured prokaryote. RNAcentral describes it as "partial 16S ribosomal RNA". It matches the Rfam family "Bacterial small subunit ribosomal RNA", at positions 523 to 775 of the family's 1533-position model. The record is from RNAcentral.
AUACGUAGGUGGCAAGCGUUGUCCGGAAUUAUUGGGCGUAAAGCGCGCGCAGGCGGUCUUUUAAGUCUGAUGUGGAAGCCCACGGCUCAACCGUGGAGGGUCAUUGGAAACUGGAAGACUUGAGUGCAGAAGAGAAGAGCGGAAUUCCACGUGUAGCGGUGAAAUGCGUAGAGAUGUGGAGGAACACCAGUGGCGAAGGCGGCUCUUUGGUCUGUAACUGACGCUGAGGCGCGAAAGCGUGGGGAGCAAACAG